Hyalella azteca is the source of this 1571-nucleotide long non-coding RNA. RefSeq lists it as uncharacterized. NCBI's taxonomy places the organism in Eukaryota, Metazoa, Arthropoda, Malacostraca, Amphipoda, Hyalellidae. The record is from RefSeq and is a predicted model, not a curated record. The transcript has 3 exons.
AUAUAGUUGUACUAUUUAUGUAUGAUAUGCGACAAUGUGCAUCAGGUUUUGUUUCAGAUUUAAUGUUAUGGGUGAGAUCUAAAACAAUCCAGUUUUUGCCUGCUUUUACAAUUAACAAAAUUGAAAUCCCAUACAUUUUCUGGUUGAAGAUAUCUAAAUAUACAAGCUAGGAAAUGCAAUUGUCUAUCUCUAUAAAACAACUUGAAAUUUUGUUGAAAGAGUUGUACUAAGUAUUUAUCAAAACGCAGCCAGUGGGAGUUUGAGCAGUUAUGCACACCAAGAGGCUUGUUCUGUUGAAAUGUAGAUUUGGUUGAUGCACAAGCUACAACAGCUAAAUGAUUUACUCAAUAAAGUCAUAGUUAUUCAAGUAUAAAUUAAAAAUAAAUAAAUUAUACACAGAUGAAAAUAGGAAGAUUAAAAUGUUUUAACCUAUUCAAAUGGUGGAAUUUGGUGGCAGUAGUUGCAGAAAACUUUUUGAAUUGGUCACUUCCUGAGCAUGGGGUAGAACCCAUAGAAAAUGAAGAUCCGGUUCUACACUCAUAGCCACCAAGAUCACCUGAUUUCACCCCAUGUGCCUAUUUCUUAUUGGGUUACAUCAAGGAAGCCGUUUAUGUCUCGCCUCUACCAGCAACUCUGGUUGAUCUGAAGAACUGAAUCACUGCUACUGGGCACUCAGUAACAGAAGAUAUGCUUUCUCUUGUGUGGGACAAGUUUGGCUACCAUUGAGGCCAAGCUAACUCCCUCUACUGGGCCUCUAGGCUGUAAAAUGAAAAAGGCAAUGAUAGCAGAUGCUUACCAUCAUGAGUGGCUCAGAUUAUGCUUUUUGAUGUGCCCAGAACUCUUGAUCAUGUGAAAAACUCAACUACUGAACUACGACAUACGUCUUCAGGCCAACUAGCAUCCAAGGUGAUUUCGUAAGUGGUCAUUAAGAAUUGUGUUUGGCUAUAUAGAGAAUUAUCACGUUAUUCCGGCUCUACCCUGGGCUUGAUAAUCUUUGCAAUUUUAAAAUCUAGAUCUGCCAAAUAUAUAUUUGUAGUCAUAUUUUCCCUGAUACCGGUAAUUACAAUGAAAAAUAAUGAUGCUUAUCAAUUCUAACAAUGAAUGGCUCGUCUACACCUUGAUUUUCAUGGAAUAUACGUAGAACACCCAUUCGGCUCUCGCCUAAGUAUGAAAAAACGAUUUACUCAUUUUAUAUUGAAUAUCUAAUGCCAAUUUAAAUUGCAAAUUUUAAUUUUCAUUCCAAUCUUUGCUUCUCACUUUUGCAAAGCCUUACUAUGCUCUUCCUAAAAAUAAAUGCUCAGCUGCAAGUAAUAUCAUGACACUCUCGAAUUCUCAUGGAUAAGCUCUCGAACGCAUACUAUGUACGGUUUCAGGCGUCUGACGCGCUCACGAAACAACUUUGACAAACAUUUAUUAAAUGUAAACUGACUUCAUUGUUGAUCGACCAGAGUUGUUUAGUACAUGUAUGAUCGAUCAUACACAUGUUGACUUGCGUAUGAUCUAAGUCGGAUUUUUUUUGCUGAAGAAAUGUAUUCAUGCAUAACGUUUUAAUAAAGUUUUUCUUUUAAGUA